AUUGAACGCUGGCGGCAUGCUUUACACAUGCAAGUCGAACGGCAGCGCGGGCUUCGGCCUGGCGGCGAGUGGCGAACGGGUGAGUAAUACAUCGGAACGUGCCCAGUAGUGGGGGAUAGCUCGGCGAAAGCCGGAUUAAUACCGCAUACGACCUGAGGGUGAAAGCGGGGGAGCUUCGGACCUCGCGCUAUUGGAGCGGCCGAUGGCAGAUUAGCUAGUUGGUGGGGUAAAGGCCUACCAAGGCGACGAUCUGUAGCUGGUCUGAGAGGACGACCAGCCACCCUGGGACUGAGCCACGGCCCAGGCUCCUACGGGAGGCAGCAGUGGGGAAUUUUGGACAAUGGGCGAAAGCCUGAUCCAGCAAUGCCGCGUGUGUGAUGAAGGCCUUCGGGUUGUAAAGCACUUUUGGCGGGAACGAAAAGGACUGUGCCAAUACCACGGUUCGAUGACGGUACCCGCAGAAUAAGCACCGGCUAACUACGUG
This 484-nucleotide ribosomal RNA is filed under the name uncultured bacterium. Its description in RNAcentral is "partial 16S ribosomal RNA". It matches the Rfam family "Bacterial small subunit ribosomal RNA", at positions 29 to 507 of the family's 1533-position model. The record is from RNAcentral.